GUAUAUUGGCGAUUUCUUGCCCACAGCGCUGUUUGGGUGGCAUCCACCCUUCCCUAUACACGACAGCUCGCUGUUUCCCUGUUCCACGCUGAAACGGGGCUGUGCCGACCUGCGGUGACAGUCUCGGUGGCACCAACGGCGCCGAAUCGCUCGCACGCAUGCCCUGAGAAAAACCUUGCACUCUUCCUCACUCCUUUCUGCAGAGAGAAGCCGCAUCCGCUCAACGCACACAAUGAGCCUUUUCGAGCGUCCUCAUCGCCUGAUGUCGGUAUCUAGUGUAGUGAUGGGGCUGAAGCCGGAGACACUACGCGAGGUGGACGACUACGCGGUGUGGAUGGAGAAGCUCCGCGCAGAACUCGUCAGGGUUUACGGGGAGCAGUUCAUGCAGUCGGAGGUAUCGGACAUUACAUACGCGACCUGCGACAAUCCGAAUCACUUUUCCUCUCGUAUCACCGAGGGUGUCUUCGAGCAUCUGCGUUCCUACAAGGCGCUCCUUGCAAACACUGAUUCCAUCAACAGGCAGCUGGCAGAGCGAACGGAGCUGCAGCAACUCAUAGAGUCUGCCAUCAGCCAGAACACCGAGGACGGCAAGGCUCUCCGUCAGCAGCAGCGCGAGCUGCGCAACGUGAAGGAAAGCAUCGUUCAGCUCACUCGGCAGGCGACAGAGCUCAAGUACCAACUGGCCUGCCUCUCGCAGCAGCUUACAAACGUCUUCAAGGCGGAAGUUGUCCGUGUCUCUUUUGCGUGAAAUCGAUGUAGGGCACGCGUGAUGCGGGCGUGAGUGUGGGCAAAGCAUCCUGCCGAAGGAGCUGCACUGGCGAGUCGCAGAGAACUCUGCUGCCCAAGGAUUGAGCACGUGAGCCGGUUGACCGUUUCACUCAAGACCACCACAUUACUUAUGCCUCCCGCCUCCGCCUUCUCGCCCUCCCCUGGGAUCGCUCAUCCGUUGUCUUAUGUUUGUAUGCUGGCGAUAUUUUUUUUCUUUUUGCAGGCUCAUCCCUUCGUUGAGAGUACCGGGCACUUUCGUCGGGAGGCCACUUGUGAAUGAUGCACACAAGCACGCAUGUGCGACGGCCAAUCACGUCUUCUUCGUUCCUUCUGCGGCUCGACUCUGGCUGCGGGUGACGGCGAGACCCGCAGUACCUGGGGUGCACGUUGUUAUUGAAUGCUGUAAGCCUUGGUGUGACUGUCACAACCGCUGCUCGUAUAUCUUUACCCCCCCUGCUCUUCGUCUCCCAUGUACGCCCACUUUUCCAUGUAGGAGAUAGACGUGUCCUGCCGUGCGUGACGGGGCGUUUUCACCACCACCCCUUUGCUUUCUCUACCUUAGCGUGCGCUGCACCUCGGUGUCUAAAAAAAUGUGUCGGACACUCUCAGUAGAGAAGCAGGUGCAGUGGCACAAACGGAAGCAGGCAAAACGGUUUAUAGUGUACGUCGGUUUCUUUUUUUUUCAGUUCGUCUCUUGGUGAGAAUCGCGAUGCCCGUUUCACCAAAAGAUGCAAGCAUGUGAAAAAAGCCUCGAACUCAAGUCGCGCUCAAUUUGGUGCAGAUGCGCAGCUUCAUAAAUCUUGUUCGUGUGCGAUUAUGUAUCUCCAGGCACGCAGAGAAGCAUAGAAGGCCAUCCCUGGCCCUCUCCGUUGCGUACGCCCAAACUCGCGCACCUGUUGCAUCGAACGUGCCGCAUGCCAAUUCGAACCUACACGGCUAUGCUUUCCUUGCUCUCGCUCGCCCCAUAAUGACGAGAGACAGUUCAGCGUGUUAUCCAGAUCCCGUUACCUACAUUUUGUGAGGAGCCCACGCGGCACCUCACCUCUGUCCCCUGCCAAUGUCAGAACCCUACUUCUUCUGGUGCGGACAGGGUCAAGCACCGACGACGUAGCGGCUGUCGGGGCGGUGUACCACUGCUGGCGUCGGCGACGCGGCCGUGGAUAGCGUUGUGCUGGGGCGGCCUGCAACCGUGCACACGUCUGCGCCAUCCAUAUGAUUGGGCAGCGUGCCAGAGCGACUCGGGCGCAUGUCUCACCCGGCCCUCGCGCACUGCCUGCUGGUGCGGGUGGGGGGGGGGGGCUGAGCCAUGCCCCGAGGAGGGAUGCACGAGGGCUGGCGGCCGGCAUGAUGGGGGAGCGGCUGUGAGGCGAGACCUGCGAGGCAAAGAGAGGGGGAGAGAGAGGUUGGUAGGGCACGAGGCAGGGGGGCCGUGCUCUCAGAUGGCUGAGUGGGCGCACUGCUGCAGCGCGUGUGUCCACGACUGCUUCGCACCACGCUGGUGGGACCUGUGCGCCUGCGGGGCUCGGGUGGCGUUUGAUCUCCUGUGCUGUAGCGGAGAAGGGGCACGAGGCGUACCACUUACUCGUGUGUGUAUGUAUAUAUGUACGUAUAUGUAUCUCUCGCGCCUUCGUUUUGUUUCGAUGCUUCGCCCUCUUCAGCUCUCUCUCUCUCAUUCCGUUUCUCCUGCUCAUUCGCUCUUCGUUCUCUGGUCUCUUGCGCCGCCCCACGACCGGGCGCCGCGCCGCGAUUUCAUUUGGUGGCUGCUGCGCACACUCUUGUGGUCGCGGAAG
This 2558-nucleotide unclassified non-coding RNA is filed under the name Leishmania donovani. Its description in RNAcentral is "gene:LdHU3.35.6740(CDS-product:hypothetical_prote in_conserved)". The record is from RNAcentral. Lineage: Eukaryota; Euglenozoa; Kinetoplastea; Trypanosomatida; Trypanosomatidae.